AAUUUUCUUCUAUUCAUGGCAUAAGAAAAAUUCCAAUGGACAUAUAAGUCAACAAAGUUGAAAAUUUGAAUGACAUCUUCAAAUAGAUCAGCAAGAACAAGACACUAUGAAAUAGACCCCAUGGAAGAGAACUGAAAAACCCAGCUCACAUCCAAAACUAUGGCCCAAGACAUAUGGCCCCAAUCAAGCCUUACCAGUCAUCUCCUGUCAUACCAGAUGCUCCAGGAGGAAGAUAGCUGUGAUGGUAGAAGGACUCCCAGGCUGUCCUGUAUACUGACAUCUUCAGCAGCAGCCAGUGCUGAAUGGAGCCAUUCUGCCAAUAGCUGUUGGAGUGAGCCAUCUGGAGUGAUGAUCUCUCAGGUCCGGACAUGCCUUCACACAGCUGCAGCCUCUGCUGACAUCUUGAGUGUAGCCGCAUGAAAAACCCUGAGCUAGAACCAUACAUGGAAGGCACUUCCAGAUUCCUGAUCCUCAGAAACUAUGUGAGAAAAUAAGUUUUGUUUCAUUGUAUCUCACAAUGUUAAGUUUUGAGGUAACUUUUUACACAUCAAUAAAUAAUGGAAUAUAAAGUAAAAAUGUGUCUAUGAACUGGAGAAU
Long non-coding RNA from Mirounga angustirostris (Northern elephant seal), 597 nucleotides. RefSeq lists it as uncharacterized. The record is from RefSeq and is a predicted model, not a curated record. The transcript is spliced from 3 exons. Lineage: Eukaryota; Metazoa; Chordata; Mammalia; Carnivora; Phocidae.